RNAcentral lists this transfer RNA (77 nucleotides) under Vibrio parahaemolyticus. RNAcentral describes it as "tRNA-Ile". It matches the Rfam family "tRNA". Rfam says of the family: Transfer RNA (tRNA) molecules are approximately 80 nucleotides in length. The record is from RNAcentral. RNAcentral also lists the same sequence under 1 other name. Lineage: Bacteria; Pseudomonadati; Pseudomonadota; Gammaproteobacteria; Vibrionales; Vibrionaceae.
GGACUUGUAGCUCAGGUGGUUAGAGCGCACGCCUGAUAAGCGUGAGGUCGAUGGUUCGAGUCCAUCCAGGUCCACCA